Molecule: ribosomal RNA, 497 nt
Filed under: uncultured bacterium
Lineage: Bacteria
Description: partial 16S ribosomal RNA
Rfam family: Bacterial small subunit ribosomal RNA
Source: RNAcentral
GAUGAACGCUGGCGGCGUGCCUAAUACAUGCAAGUCGAGCGGACGGACGAGAAGCUUGCUUCUCUGUGGUAAGCGGCGGACGGGAGAGGAACACGUGGAUAAAAUACCUAUAAAACUGGGACAACAUCGGGAAACAGUAGCUAAAAACGGAUAAUAAUUCGACACGCAUGGUUUAAAAGUCAAAGACGGUCUUGGUGAUAAUCAUACAUGUAUCGGCGCGGCCUUAGCUAGUUGGUAAGGUAACGGGUUACCAAGGCAACGAGGCAUAACCGACCUGAAAGGGUGGACGGCCACACUGGAAGUGAGGCCCGGUCCAGACUCCGGGGGGGAGCCACAGCAGAGAAUCUUCCGCGAUGGACGAGAGCCUGACGGAGCAACGCCGCGGGAGUUAUGAUGGUCUUCGGAUCGGAGAACUCUGUUAUUAGGGAAGAACAUAUGUGUAAGUAACUGUGCACAUCUUGACGGUACCUAAUCAGAAAGCCACGGCUAACUACGUG